CAGUCGCCGCGGUAAAACGUAGGUGGCAAGCGUUGUCCGGAAUUAUUGGGCGUAAAGGGCUCGCAGGCGGUUUCUUAAGUCUGAUAUGAAAGCUCCCAGCUCAACCGGGGAGGGUCAUUGGAAACUGGGAAACUUGAGUGCAGAAGAGGAGAGUGGAAUUCCACGCGUAGCGGUGAAAUGCGUAGAGAUGUGGAGGAACACCAGUGGCGAAGGCGACUCUCUGGUCUGUAACUGACGCUGAGGAGCGAAAGCGUGGGGAGCGAACAGGAUUAGAUACCCCUGUAGUCCCUGUCUCUUAUAC
This 301-nucleotide ribosomal RNA is filed under the name uncultured bacterium. Its description in RNAcentral is "partial 16S ribosomal RNA". It matches the Rfam family "Bacterial small subunit ribosomal RNA", at positions 509 to 807 of the family's 1533-position model. The record is from RNAcentral.